RNAcentral lists this ribosomal RNA (16 nucleotides) under Stauridium tetras. RNAcentral's name for it is "partial 28S ribosomal RNA". The record is from RNAcentral. Lineage: Eukaryota; Viridiplantae; Chlorophyta; Chlorophyceae; Sphaeropleales; Hydrodictyaceae.
GACCGAGCUCAGGCAA